RNAcentral lists this ribosomal RNA (446 nucleotides) under uncultured bacterium. Its description in RNAcentral is "bacterial SSU rRNA". It matches the Rfam family "Bacterial small subunit ribosomal RNA", at positions 30 to 474 of the family's 1533-position model. The record is from RNAcentral.
AUUGAACGCUGGCGGCAUGCUUUACACAUGCAAGUCGAACGGCAGCACGGGGGCAACCCUGGUGGCGAGUGGCGAACGGGUGAGUAAUACAUCGGAACGUGCCCAAUCGUGGGGGAUAACGUAGCGAAAGCUACGCUAAUACCGCAUACGAUCUACGGAUGAAAGCGGGGGAUCGCAAGACCUCGCGCGAAUGGAGCGGCCGAUGGCAGAUUAGGUAGUUGGUGGGGUAAAGGCUCACCAAGCCAACGAUCUGUAGCUGGUCUGAGAGGACGACCAGCCACACUGGGACUGAGACACGGCCCAGACUCCUACGGGAGGCAGCAGUGGGGAAUUUUGGACAAUGGGCGAAAGCCUGAUCCAGCCAUUCCGCGUGCAGGAUGAAGGCCUUCGGUUGUAAACUGCUUUUGGACGGUACGAAAAACCGACUUACUAAUACAAGUAGGUCA